Molecule: ribosomal RNA, 468 nt
Filed under: uncultured bacterium
Lineage: Bacteria
Description: partial 16S ribosomal RNA
Rfam family: Bacterial small subunit ribosomal RNA
Source: RNAcentral
GACGAACGCUGGCGGCGUGCUUAACACAUGCAAGUCGAACGGAAAGGCCCUGCUUUUGUGGGGUGCUCGAGUGGCGAACGGGUGAGUAACACGUGAGUAACCUGCCCUUGACUUUGGGAUAACUUCAGGAAACUGGGGCUAAUACCGGAUAGGAGCUCCUGCUGCAUGGUGGGGGUUGGAAAGUUUCGGCGGUUGGGGAUGGACUCGCGGCUUAUCAGCUUGUUGGUGGGGUAGUGGCUUACCAAGGCUUUGACGGGUAGCCGGCCUGAGAGGGUGACCGGCCACAUGGGGACUGAGAUACGGCCCAGACUCCUACGGGAGGCAGAAGUGGGGAAUAUUGCACAAUGGGCGGAAGCCGGAUGCAGCAACGCCGCGUGCGGGAUGACGGCCUUCGGGUUGUAAACCGCUUUCGCCUGUGACGAAGCGUGAGUGACGGUAAUGGGUAAAGAAGCACCGGCUAACUACGUG